UAGCUGAAAUGAAUGUUGCUUC
RNAcentral lists this non-coding RNA (22 nucleotides) under Arabidopsis thaliana (thale cress). Lineage: Eukaryota; Viridiplantae; Streptophyta; Magnoliopsida; Brassicales; Brassicaceae. The record is from RNAcentral.